Molecule: ribosomal RNA, 679 nt
Filed under: uncultured Actinomycetes bacterium
Lineage: Bacteria; Bacillati; Actinomycetota; Actinomycetes
Description: bacterial SSU rRNA
Rfam family: Bacterial small subunit ribosomal RNA
Source: RNAcentral
CUUAACACAUGCAAGUCGAACGCUGAAGCUUGGUGCUUGCACUGGGUGGAUGAGUGGUGAACGGGUGAGUAAUACGUGAGUAACCUGCCCUUGACUCUGGGAUAAGCCAGGGAAACUGGGUCUAUACUGGAUACGACAUGUCAUCGCAUGGUGGUGUGUGGAAAGGGUUUUACUGGUUUUGGAUGGGCUCACGGCCUAUCAGCUUGUUGGUGGGGUAAUGGCUCACCAAGGCGACGACGGGUAGCCGGCCUGAGAGGGUGACCGGCCACACUGGGACUGAGACACGGCCCAGACUCCUACGGGAGGCAGCAGUGGGGAAUAUUGCACAAUGGGCGGAAGCCUGAUGCAGCGACGCCGCGUGAGGGAUGACGGCCUUCGGGUUGUAAACCUCUUUCAGCACGGAAGAAGCGAAAGUGACGGUACGUGCAGAAGAAGCGCCGGCUAACUACGUGCCAGCAGCCGCGGUAAUACGUAGGGCGCAAGCGUUGUCCGGAAUUAUUGGGCGUAAAGAGCUCGUAGGCGGUUUGUCGCGUCUGCUGUGAAAGCCCGGGGCUUAACCCCGGGUGUGCAGUGGGUACGGGCAGACUUGAGUGCAGUAGGGGAGACUGGAAUUCCUGGUGUAGCGGUGAAAUGCGCAGAUAUCAGGAGGAACACCGAUGGCGAAGGCAGGUCUCUAGGC